AUUGAACGCUGGCGGCAGGCCUAACACAUGCAAGUCGAACGGCAGCACAGAAGAGCUUGCUCUUUGGGUGGCGAGUGGCGGACGGGUGAGUAAUGUCUGGGAAACUGCCCGAGGGAGGGGGAUAACUACUGGAAACGGUAGCUAAUACCGCAUAACGUCGUAAGACCAAAGUGGGGGACCUUCGGGCCUCACGCCAUCGGAUGUGCCCAGAUGGGAUUAGCUAGUAGGUGGGGUAAUGGCUCACCUAGGGGACGAUCCCUAGCUGGUCUGAGGGGAUGACCAGCCACACUGGAACUGAGACACGGUCCAGACUCCUACGGGAGGCAGCAGUGGGGAAUAUUGCACAAUGGGCGCAAGCCUGAUGCAGCCAUGCCGCGUGUAUGAAGAAGGCCUUCGGGUUGUAAAGUACUUUCAGCGGGGAGGAAGGCGGUGAGGUUAAUAACCUCGCCGAUUGACGUUACCCGCAGAAGAAGCACCGGCUAACUCCGUGCCAGCAGCCGCAGUAA
RNAcentral lists this ribosomal RNA (506 nucleotides) under uncultured bacterium. Its description in RNAcentral is "partial 16S ribosomal RNA". It matches the Rfam family "Bacterial small subunit ribosomal RNA", at positions 29 to 523 of the family's 1533-position model. The record is from RNAcentral.